UGUUAAAAAUUUCAUCCAUUUCUAUUAUUAAAAGUUGGUGUGGCUGACGCAGACAGUUACAUACAGCGUACUACGUGUAUCUCAUGCUAACAUAUAAGGAUCGAUUUUUAACCGAAAAUGGACGAAAUUUUUAAUA
Molecule: microRNA precursor, 136 nt
Organism: Gossypium arboreum
Lineage: Eukaryota; Viridiplantae; Streptophyta; Magnoliopsida; Malvales; Malvaceae
Rfam family: MIR7502 microRNA precursor family
Source: Rfam